Molecule: transfer RNA, 100 nt
Filed under: Trichoderma longibrachiatum
Lineage: Eukaryota; Fungi; Ascomycota; Sordariomycetes; Hypocreales; Hypocreaceae
Also listed under: 1 other name
Description: tRNA-Ile
Rfam family: tRNA
About the family: Transfer RNA (tRNA) molecules are approximately 80 nucleotides in length. Their secondary structure includes four short double-helical elements and three loops (D, anti-codon, and T loops). Further hydrogen bonds mediate the characteristic L-shaped molecular structure. tRNAs have two regions of fundamental functional importance: the anti-codon, which is responsible for specific mRNA codon recognition, and the 3' end, to which the tRNAs corresponding amino acid is attached (by aminoacyl-tRNA synthetases). tRNAs cope with the degeneracy of the genetic code in two manners: having more than one tRNA (with a specific anti-codon) for a particular amino acid; and 'wobble' base-pairing, i.e. permitting non-standard base-pairing at the 3rd anti-codon position.
Source: RNAcentral
GCUUCCGUAGCUCAGUUGGUUAGAGCUUCGUACUAAUACUUCACCCCUGGGCUAAGUCUUGGUAAUGCGAAGGUCGCAGGUUCAAGCCCUGCCGGGAGCA